CCUACGGGUGGCAGCAGUGAGGAAUAUUGGUCAAUGGACGAGAGUCUGAACCAGCCAAGUAGCGUGAAGGAUGACUGCCCUAUGGGUUGUAAACUUCUUUUAUAUGGGAAUAAAAUGUUCCACGUGUGGGAUUUUGUAUGUACCAUAUGAAUAAGGAUCGGCUAACUCCGUGCCAGCAGCCGCGGUAAUACGGAGGAUCCGAGCGUUAUCCGGAUUUAUUGGGUUUAAAGGGAGCGUAGGUGGAUUGUUAAGUCUGUUGUGAAAGUUUGCGGCGCAACCGUAAAAUUGCAGUUGAAACUGGCAGUCUUGAGUACAGUAGAGGUGGGCGGAAUUCGUGGUGUAGCGGUGAAAGGCUUAGAUAUCACGAAGAACUCCGAUUGCGAAGGCAGCUCACUGGACUGCAACUGACACUGAGGCUCGAAAGUGUGGGUAUCAAACAGGAUUAGAUACCCCUGUAGUC
RNAcentral lists this ribosomal RNA (460 nucleotides) under uncultured bacterium. RNAcentral describes it as "partial 16S ribosomal RNA". It matches the Rfam family "Bacterial small subunit ribosomal RNA", at positions 338 to 795 of the family's 1533-position model. The record is from RNAcentral.